AAUUUGCAGCAGUGGGCUUUCUUUAGAUGACUCUUGUAUCAGAAAUAUUUUUCUGCUUUUUGGAACAAGUAACAUAUGAUGUCUUGAUGCCAACAAAGUGUCAUUGGAAAGAUUGUAAAAAGAUGUUAAGGUAUUUGACAAAUCUGUAAUCAUGUUAAUAAAGUGUUUUUGUUUUUUUUGUAUUCUUAAAUUAGCAAGAGAAACCAAAAGUUGGAGGAUGGAACAUUUGUUUCCCGUUACUAGUUAUCUAUAACAAAAGCUUUCCAGGCAGACACCCAUCCACAGAGCCAUGGGUGAUAGAUGAUAUUCACAGUGGGCACGACUGCAUUGUAAAUUGGUGUCACUUUUACAAAGCAAAACAGAUUUAGAUAACAUGUCUACUAUGAAAGAGAUCAUGUGUCUAAAUGAAAAUGGCUCUCCCAAGUGUGUCAUUCUGAUGACUCUUGAAAACAAGUUGACCGUUUUGAAGCAUCUCAGGACAAAGCUCAAGUUCUAGUUUGCAGUGGUAUUAGAAAAGUCGUUGCUUUUUGGUUAGAGUUUCUUCGCCGUCCGAUGCAUCAAUCGGAAUGAUGUUCACUUCCUUCACGUCAUUGCUCACAGGUUAUAUCGACCUUCAAAGGCAAAUCAUAAGAGGGUAUUCUUUUCCUUGACAUAAAGACCGGAAAUUUUAUGCAUUAGCAAGUCAUCCGCAUCCAAAUAGAUCAAACGCACGAGGUAUUUCGCCUCGUCCGGGAACUUACCAUCAAGCAAGGCAUCCAUCAACAGAAUGUGUUAAAGAGGAACGUAAUGACCAAAUGCCGACUGGACGAUUUCCAUGCAAGAUGAAUGUUAAAAUCCAAGGGUAUCUGGAGAACCCUUAGCUGAAUACAAUUAAUACUAUCAGUUCUCCAGAACAAGAGGCCGACAUAGGUUAAUAAUCAUACUGAAUCAAAAGAGGUACAUCCUUGAACGAGAUUUUAAAACGAUAACAGCUAGAAGGGCAUGUGUAAAUUUCAAUGGACGCUACCUGCACGUUACCUUUAGUCGCUGAUUCAUCUCGAAGAUAAAAUAAAAUUUUUUUUAUUGAA
Molecule: long non-coding RNA, 1067 nt
Filed under: Daphnia magna
Lineage: Eukaryota; Metazoa; Arthropoda; Branchiopoda; Diplostraca; Daphniidae
Description: uncharacterized LOC116935490, transcript variant X3
Source: RNAcentral